RNAcentral lists this ribosomal RNA (468 nucleotides) under uncultured bacterium. RNAcentral describes it as "partial 16S ribosomal RNA". It matches the Rfam family "Bacterial small subunit ribosomal RNA", at positions 28 to 507 of the family's 1533-position model. The record is from RNAcentral.
GACGAACGCUGGCGGCGUGCUUAACACAUGCAAGUCGAACGGAAAGGCCCUGCUUUUGUGGGGUUCUCGAGUGGCGAACGGGUGAGUAACACGUGAGUAACCUGCCCUUGUCUUUGGGAUAACUUCAGGAAACUGGGGCUAAUACCGGAUAGGAGCUCCUGCUGCAUGGUGGGGGUUGGAAAGUUUCGGCGGUUGGGGAUGGACUCGCGGCUUAUCAGCUUGUUGGUGGGGUAGUGGCUUACCAAGGCUUUGACGGGUAGCCGGCCUGAGAGGGUGACCGGCGACAAUGCGACUGCGAGACGGAGCAGAAUCCUACGGGAGGCAGCAGUGGGAAAUAUUACACAAUGAGCGGGAGCCUGAUGCAGCAACGCUGCGUGCGUGAUGACGGCCUUCUGGUUGUGAACAGCUUUCGACUGUGACGAAGCGUGAGUGACGGUAAUGAGUAAAGAAGCACCGGCUAACUACGUG